This 483-nucleotide ribosomal RNA is filed under the name uncultured bacterium. RNAcentral describes it as "partial 16S ribosomal RNA". It matches the Rfam family "Bacterial small subunit ribosomal RNA", at positions 28 to 507 of the family's 1533-position model. The record is from RNAcentral.
GACGAACGCUGGCGGCGUGCUUAACACAUGCGAGUCGAACGCUGAAGCUCAGCUUUUGUUGGGUGGAUGAGUGGCGAACGGGUGAGUAACACGUGAGUAACCUGCCCCCUUCUUUGGGAUAACGCCCGGAAACGGGUGCUAAUACUGGAUAUUCACUGGUCUUCGCAUGGGGGUUGGUGGAAAGGGUUUUUCUGGUGGGGGAUGGGCUCGCGGCCUAUCAGCUUGUUGGUGGGGUGAUGGCCUACCAAGGCUUUGACGGGUAGCCGGCCUGAGAGGGUGACCGGUCACAUUGGGACUGAGAUACGGCCCAGACUCCUACGGGAGGCAGCAGUGGGGAAGAUUGCACAAUGGGCGCAAGCCUGAUGCAGCGACGCCGCGUGAGGGAUGGAGGCCUUCGGGUUGUGAACCUCUUUCGCUCAUGGUCAAGCCGCAACAAUGGUUGUGGUGAGGGUAGUGGGUAAAGAAGCGCCGGCUAACUACGUG